AUGGCUAAUCAUGUGUCAGAGUUGUUGCCAGAGCGGACCUUCCAGUACCAAAGCAGCCUGCCACUCCUGCCUGUCCCAUCGCUAGAGAAUAGCCUUUUAAAGUACCUGAAUGCAGUUCAACUAUUUGCAUCUGAGAAGGAGUUUAAGGCUACAGUGGACACUGUGAAUAAAUUUCAAGAGGGUGUUGGCAAAGAGCUGCAUCAGAAACUACUGCAGAGAGCCAAGACAAAGAAGAACUGGCUGGAAGAAUGGUGGUUAGAUUCUGCAUAUCUGGAGGUCCGCGUCCCCUCUCAGCUGAAUGUGAACUUUGGUGGCCCGGCGCCCUACCUGGAGCACUGCUGGCCUCCUGAAGAGGGAACUCAUCUGCAGAGGGCCAGUAUCAGUACAUGGCAUACGCUGCAGUACUGGAACCUGAUCCGCACGGAGAGGCUGGCUCCUCAGAAAUCUGGCAAAACACCAUUAGAUAUGGACCAGUUCAGAAUGCUGUUCUCCACCUGCAAAGUACCUGGAGUAAAGAAGGACACCAUUCGUAACUACUUCAAAAUGGAGCGUGAGGGUCCUUGCCCCUCCCAUUUGGUAGUGAUGUGUCGCGGACGGUUCUUCACGUUUGAUGCAGUCUGUGAUGGACAAAUCCUCACUCCUCCAGAACUGCUCAGGCAGCUGAGCUACGUGAGUGAGUGCUGUGAGGGAGAGCCGGAGGGAGACGGAGUGAGCGCUCUCACCUCAGAGGAGAGGACUCGUUGGGCGAAGGCCAGGGAGCAUCUAAUAAGCAUUGAUCCACAUAAUAAUACCAUCCUGGAGACCAUCCAAAGCAGCCUGUUCGUUAUAUCUCUGGAUGAAACCAAACCCUACUCCACUCCAGAUAACUACACAAAUGUGACUCUGGAAACCCUUACAGGCAACCCUACCAUCCGCUGGGGUGACAAAUCAUACAAUUCAAUCGUGUUUGCAGAUGGUACUUUUGGAUGCAAUUGUGAUCAUGCACCAUAUGAUGGCAUUAUACUGGUGUCUAUGUGCUGGUAUCUGGACCAGCAAAUUAAAGCUACAGAAGGCAAAUGGAAGGGCUCAGAGGCAGUCAGAUCCAUCCCUCCUCCUGAGGAGCUGGUGUUUACUGUGGACGAAAAAGUCCUCAGUGACAUCAGUCAUGCCAAACAGCAAUACCUGGUGUCGACACAGGACCUGCAGGUUGUGUGUUACGCCUUCACAGCGUUUGGAAAAGCAACCAUCAAACAGAAGAAGCUGCAUCCAGAUACCUUUGUUCAACUAGCAAUGCAGCUGGCCUACUACAGAAUGCACAAAGCGCCAGGAAGUUGUUAUGAGACGGCAACAACUCGCAAGUUCUACCACGGCAGGACAGAGACAAUGCGACCCUGCACCGAGGAGGCUGUGAACUGGUGUACAGCCAUGAUGGACCCCACUUGCAACGUUGAUGAGAGGAGGAAAGCCAUGCUGCUGGCCUUCCAUAAACACAACAAACUGAUGGCUGAAGCCCAGGAAGGAAAAGGUUUUGACAGACAUCUUCUUGGGCUGUAUCUUAUCGCCAGAGAGGAGGGACGUCCCAUUCCAGAGCUCUUUACGGAUCCCCUCUAUGCAAAGAGUGGUGGCGGUGGUAACUUUGUGCUGUCGUCCAGCCUGACGGGCUACACCACAAUUUUGGGGGCAGUGGCUCCCAUGGUGCACCACGGCUAUGGCUUUUUCUACCGGAUCAGAGAUGAAAGGAUUGUGAUUUGCAUCUCAGCAUGGACAUCUUGCCGUGAGACAGAUGCCGCAGCACUAUUCAACUACUUCAGUAGCGCUCUGCAUGAGAUGCUCCACCUGGCCACCACAUCUCAGCUAUAAGUGCCGACAUCAACUAACAGGGUGGCUAAACACAGGCUUAUUUACACUUUUGCCUUUUACUUCUCAGCACAUGUUUGUAUGUUAAUCCGCACACAAUUUACAGAGCCUCAGCUAAUAGCCAGUAGUGAGUGAUAGUAAUGUUUGUUCUCAGGACAGAUCAAUGCAAAUGUACAGAAUUAGUUCUGGUAAGUAAUAUCCACUGGUAUUGGAAUUAUGAAACGUAACCUUUCUCUUUAUGUGGUGCUAAAUAAGACUUAUUUUUUGUUUGUAAAUUGUUCUUGUGUAAUUUUUGUAAGAUUUUAAUUUUUGGGGGCAUUUUUGCUUUUGAUAGUAAUAGUAGAAAGAAACAGGAAGGCCAGGAGAGAGAGAGAGAGAGAGAGAGAGAGAGAGAGAGAGAGAGAGAGAGAGAGAGAGAGAGAGAGAGAGAAUGACAUGCAGUGAACGGUUUGGCCGGACUCAAACCUGGGCCACUGCGGUCAGGACUCUUGUGUUACGCGCUCUAGCAGGAAUGUCCAAGGACGAUGCCAUGUCAGCCUACCUUACACUUGGAAAGGAAAUAAUCACUGAAAAUGUCAUGUAAGUGUUGCAAUGAACUGAAGAGGCUGAAUUAAUGCCAAAAACGACAACAGUCAUAAAAUAAUAAGACUGUCCAAAUAACAAGUAGCCUUCUGCUUUCAGAGGCCAUAAGUAUGCAGGAUAAUAAUUUAUUAUUAUUAUUAUAAUAAUUUAUAAUAAUUUUCUGGAAUUUCUUUUCAUGGUUUGUCUUUUUUAAUUAAUGUAUACAACUGAACAACUUCCAUGCAUCCUCAAGGGUUAAAAAUAUGAAUUUUCUCAUUGCUAUUUUAUCUAAUGUGUAUUUAUUGUUGUAAUCCAUAUGUACACAUCAAUAUACUUUAUACUUGUGCACUUUGACAUGCAGCUUGGUUCCGAUUCAAAACAGGACAAACUAAAUGCUGUCUAAUGUGCACACAUUUUGAAAAUAAAACCUCAUUUUCA
This is an RNA transcript of Dicentrarchus labrax (European seabass), 2835 nucleotides long. It is a transcript of the gene named peroxisomal carnitine O-octanoyltransferase, with no coding region annotated. The record is from RefSeq and is a predicted model, not a curated record. The transcript has 17 exons. NCBI's taxonomy places the organism in Eukaryota, Metazoa, Chordata, Actinopteri, Moronidae.